This 379-nucleotide ribosomal RNA is filed under the name uncultured cyanobacterium. RNAcentral describes it as "bacterial SSU rRNA". It matches the Rfam family "Bacterial small subunit ribosomal RNA", at positions 376 to 770 of the family's 1533-position model. Lineage: Bacteria; Bacillati; Cyanobacteriota. The record is from RNAcentral.
CGAAAGCCUGACGGAGCAAGACCGCGUGAGGGAGGAAGGCUCUUGGGUUGUAAACCUCUUUUCUCAGGGAAGAAGCUCUGACGGUACCUGAGGAAUCAGCCUCGGCUAACUCCGUGCCAGCAGCCGCGGUAAUACGGAGGAGGCAAGCGUUAUCCGGAAUUAUUGGGCGUAAAGCGUCCGCAGGUGGCAAUUCAAGUCUGCUGUCAAAGACCGAAGCUUAACUUCGGGUAGGCGGUGGAAACUGAAGAGCUAGAGUAAAGCAGGGGUAGAGGGAAUUCCCAGUGUAGCGGUGAAAUGCGUAGAGAUUGGGAAGAACACCAGUGGCGAAAGCGCUCUACUGGACGGCAACUGACACUCAGGGACGAAAGCUAGGGGAGCG